This 301-nucleotide ribosomal RNA is filed under the name uncultured bacterium. Its description in RNAcentral is "partial 16S ribosomal RNA". It matches the Rfam family "Bacterial small subunit ribosomal RNA", at positions 509 to 807 of the family's 1533-position model. The record is from RNAcentral.
CAGUAGCCGCGGGAACACGGAGGGGGCUAGCGUUGUUCGGAAUUACUGGGCGUAAAGCGCACGUAGGCGGCUUGGUAAGUUAGAGGUGAAAGCCUGGAGCUCAACUCCAGAAUUGCCUUUAAGACUGCCGAGCUAGCAGGUGAGAGAGGUAAGUGGAAUUCCGAGUGUAGAGGUGAAAUUCGUAGAUAUUCGGAAGAACACCAGUGGCGAAGGCGGCUUACUGGCUCAUACUGGACGCUGAGGUGCGAAAGCGUGGGGAGCAAACAGGAUUAGAGACCCCAGUAGUCCCUGUCUCUUAUAC